Molecule: ribosomal RNA, 588 nt
Filed under: Bacillus pumilus
Lineage: Bacteria; Bacillati; Bacillota; Bacilli; Caryophanales; Bacillaceae
Description: bacterial SSU rRNA
Rfam family: Bacterial small subunit ribosomal RNA
Source: RNAcentral
UUUCGGAUCGUAAAGCUCUGUUGUUAGGGAAGAACAAGUGCGAGAGUAACUGCUCGCACCAUGACGGUACCUAACCAGAAAGCCACGGCUAACUACGUGCCAGCAGCCGCGGUAAUACGUAGGUGGCAAGCGUUGUCCGGAAUUAUUGGGCGUAAAGGGCUCGCAGGCGGUUUCUUAAGUCUGAUGUGAAAGCCCCCGGCUCAACCGGGGAGGGUCAUUGGAAACUGGGAAACUUGAGUGCAGAAGAGGAGAGUGGAAUUCCACGUGUAGCGGUGAAAUGCGUAGAGAUGUGGAGGAACACCAGUGGCGAAGGCGACUCUCUGGUCUGUAACUGACGCUGAGGAGCGAAAGCGUGGGGAGCGAACAGGAUUAGAUACCCUGGUAGUCCACGCCGUAAACGAUGAGUGCUAAGUGUUAGGGGGUUUCCGCCCCUUAGUGCUGCAGCUAACGCAUUAAGCACUCCGCCUGGGGAGUACGGUCGCAAGACUGAAACUCAAAGGAAUUGACGGGGGCCCGCACAAGCGGUGGAGCAUGUGGUUUAAUUCGAAGCAACGCGAAGAACCUUACCAGGUCUUGACAUCCUCUGAC